Molecule: transfer RNA, 59 nt
Filed under: Camelus bactrianus (Bactrian camel)
Lineage: Eukaryota; Metazoa; Chordata; Mammalia; Artiodactyla; Camelidae
Also listed under: 1 other name
Rfam family: tRNA
About the family: Transfer RNA (tRNA) molecules are approximately 80 nucleotides in length. Their secondary structure includes four short double-helical elements and three loops (D, anti-codon, and T loops). Further hydrogen bonds mediate the characteristic L-shaped molecular structure. tRNAs have two regions of fundamental functional importance: the anti-codon, which is responsible for specific mRNA codon recognition, and the 3' end, to which the tRNAs corresponding amino acid is attached (by aminoacyl-tRNA synthetases). tRNAs cope with the degeneracy of the genetic code in two manners: having more than one tRNA (with a specific anti-codon) for a particular amino acid; and 'wobble' base-pairing, i.e. permitting non-standard base-pairing at the 3rd anti-codon position.
Source: Rfam by way of RNAcentral
AUAGCUUAGUGGUAGAGCACGUGCUUAGCAUGCAUGAGGUCCUGGGUUCAAUUGCCAGU